GACGAACGCUGGCGGCGUGCUUAACACAUGCAAGUCGAACGAUGACGACCGAGCUUGCUCGGUCUGAUUAGUGGCGAACGGGUGAGUAACACGUGAGCAACCUGCCCUUCACUCUGGGAUAACCUCGGGAAAUCGGGGCUAAUACCGGAUAUGAGCUCCUGUCGCAUGGCGGGUGUUGGAAAGUUUUUCGGUGAAGGAUGGGCUCGCGGCCUAUCAGUUUGUUGGUGAGGUAGUGGCUCACCAAGGCGAUGACGGGUAGCCGGCCUGAGAGGGCGACCGGCCACACUGGGACUGAGACACGGCCCAGACUCCUACGGGAGGCAGCAGUGGGGAAUAUUGCACAAUGGGCGAAAGCCUGAUGCAGCGACGCCGCGUGAGGGAUGACGGCCUUCGGGUUGUAAACCUCUGUCAGCAGGGAAGAAGCGAAAGUGACGGUACCUGCAGAAGAAGCGCCGGCUAACUACGUG
RNAcentral lists this ribosomal RNA (467 nucleotides) under uncultured bacterium. Its description in RNAcentral is "partial 16S ribosomal RNA". It matches the Rfam family "Bacterial small subunit ribosomal RNA", at positions 28 to 507 of the family's 1533-position model. The record is from RNAcentral.